RNAcentral lists this long non-coding RNA (3678 nucleotides) under Mytilus galloprovincialis (Mediterranean mussel). Lineage: Eukaryota; Metazoa; Mollusca; Bivalvia; Mytilida; Mytilidae. The record is from RNAcentral.
UAAAAUUGAGAAUGGAAAUGGGGAAUGUGUCAAAGAGACAACAACCCGACCAAAUAAAAAACAACAGCAGAGGGUCACCAACAGGUCUUCAAUGUAGCGAGAAAUUCCCGCACCCGAAGGCGUCCUUCAGCUGGCCCCUAAACAAAUAUAUACUAGUCCAGUGAUAAUGAACGCCAUACUAAUUUCCAAAUUGUACACAAGAAACUAAAAUUAAAAUAAUACAAGACUAACAAAGGCCAGAGGCUCCUGACUUGGGACAGGCGCAAAAAUGCGGCGGGGUUAAACAUGUUUGUGAGAUCUCAACCCUCCCCCUAUACCUCUAACCAAUGUAGUAAAGUAAACGCAUAACAAUACGCACAUUAAAAUUCAGUUCAAGAGAAAUCCGAGUCUGAUGUCAGAAGAUGUAACUAAAGAAAAUAAACAAAAUGACAAUAAUACAUUAAUAACAACAGACUACUAGCAGUUAACUGACAUGCCAGCUCCAGACUUCAAUUAAACUGACUGAAAGAUUAUGAUUUCAUCAUAUGAACAUCAGGCACAAUCCUUCCCGUUAGGGGUUUAGUAUCAUACCAUCAUAACAUAUAUGAGAAGAACAUAACCCGUGUCAUGCCAACAACUGUUUUAAAAAAAAAUAAUGUGUUUAGUUCGAUGCAAAGACCUUAUCAGUGACUCAAUAUUAACGCCAAAAUAUGCAAUCUUUAAUGACUUGACAACAGUAUCGUAAUUAUAUCCCUUCUUAAUAAGUCUAUUCAAAGGUUUUGUAAGUUUCUGAGGUGAAUACUGACACCUUUGUGCUUUAUAAAGAAUAUUACCAUAAAAAAUUGGAUGUGAAAUACCUGAACGUAUUAGAAGUCUGCAUGUUGAGCUAUAUUUACGAAUGAUGUCUUUAUACCGAUGAUAAAAUUUAGUAAAUGUUUUGACUAGUUUGUGAUAUCGAAAACCCUGGUGUAAUAAUUUUUCAGUAAUACAUAAAUUUUUUUCGUUAAAAUUUAAAACAUUGUUACAUACACGAGCGAAUCGUACCAAGUUGAGAUAUAUAAACACCGUAAGAUGGUGACAAGGGAACGUCACAUCUAAAAACGGAUAAUUAACGAUAGGAAAUGAAAAAUCAUCCCUUUUAUCAUAAAUUUUAGUAUUCAGCUUUCCAUUAGUGAUAUAUAUAUCAAGAUCGAGAAAAGGGCAGUGGUCAUUGUUUGUAUUAGCUUUAUUUAAAGUAAGUUCAACAGGAUAAAUUUCAUUAAUAUAACAUACUGAAGUCGUCAUUAUUGAGAGCCAAAAUAUCAUCCAAAUAUCUAAAAGUAUUAUUAAAUUUGUUUAUCAGAUGUGUUGUUUGAUGGGUCUUUGCUUAUUUUUGUCAUAAAUUGUAAUCAUACAAUACAAAAACAGGUCCGCAAUAAGUGGUGCACAGUUAGUCCCAUUGGAAUUCGAUAAUCUGACGAUAUACGGAAUCCCAAAGCGCACAAAAAUGUUAUCCAGUAAAAAUUCAAGGGCAUAUAUAGUAUCAAAGCAUGUCCAAUUUAACAUAGUUUUUUUGUUUAUUGCUACAAAAAAUGACUAAAAGAGGUUGAACAUAUAUAUUCACAUUCUGAUUUUUUGAAUGCCCAUUUAAUUAGGUGUGUGAAUUUUUUCUUAAUGAGAAUGUGAGGCAAUGUGGUAUACAGGGUAGAAAAAUCAAAACUUUGAACUGAUCAAAAUCACCAAUAUAAGCAUGCAAUUUAUCAAGUACUUCCAAAGUUUUUGACACUCCAAAAGUAAUUUAUCCACUAUUUUCGAAGGCCUUAUUUGAACAAUUCAUUAUCAGGUUUUUUAAUUGUACCAAGUGUGCUGGUAAGAAGAAUAGACAAUUUAGUAGUUGAACAAUGGCUUGAAGACGAAAUAAAUCUAUAUUUGUAAGGGAUUUUGUGUAGCUUCGGAAGCCAAUACAUAGUUGGGACUUUCAUUGUAUUUGGCUCUGCUUGUAAAGCGAUGGCUAAAAGUUUAUGUUUGUUACAGAUUUCGUUUUCUGAAAAUGGAGUCAGUUGGAAUGUUGGUGAAUUGGUGAUUUCCUUUUCAGAACCUCAAUGUAAAAUUUACGUCAAACAAUAAUAAUAUUAUUAGCAGCUUUUCUGCCGGGACAAACACAAAUUCCUUGGCUAGUUCUUUUAGUUUAUGUUGAUACGAGAAAUAGGUUUAUUGUGGUUAUUGUUUUAUAGUAAAAUGUUCUUUAAAAUGUUGAAUACGUAUAUCAACUAUCUUCAUUACUGAAUUAAAAAAAGAGUCCAAAGUUUUUUGUCAGCUUUUCCCGUUUUAUCCAUUUCAUACAGUAAGUAUGGAGUGAGUCGUGGAUGAUAUUACGACACUCAUUCCAAUUAAUAAUUGACGGGGGACGAUAUUUAGGUCCUUUACUGAGGAAUGAUUUUAACUUUCGGUCUUGAACGAUGUUAAGAUCUCCUGUUAUAACAUGGGAAAUGGGUCCAUAAAUAUAUCGGAAUUACUGCAAUUACAUGAAGUAGGUAUAUUUUCACUGAUAUUAACAUCUUUACACAAUUGACUAUAAUUAAACACAAAUUUCCGGGUAGAUUUCUUGUAAAUAUAACAAAUAAGAGGGUAGCUCAGUAUUGUCAAAUAUCCAGGAAUUUGUUCUUUAACAGAAUGGUCGUUAAAUAUACCGGCAAUAUUUAAAAUCAAAGCCUUUAUUGACAUACUUAAUUUUAAUAAAAUGUUUUUUAUGAUCUUCAGGGCGAUCAAUUUUGGGAAAUAAUUUGAAUAACAAUAUGCCAUAAUAAUUUGAACAAUUUCAUACUUAGGACUGCUAUAUGAAAUUGUGUUGCAAUCCUCCAAAAUUUUAUUUAACUUAUUAACGCGGUAACGAACAGAGUUUUGUUAACAGAUAAUGUCUGCUGUUGUUUUUUUGAAAUAGAAAUUAGGUCCGAAAUAUUGGUAUGAUUGGCCCGAAAUUUUCUUAAAUUGCGAUUUGUUCUACGACCGUGAGAACGUUUUUACGAACAGUUUUAGAAACUAUAUCAAAAUGUUAACGGAAUUGGUUCUAGAUAUAUACCAAUUCCCAUGAUAUUAUCAUUUAGACCGAGAGGGUAAACUGUCUGUAAUUUUUUAAUCCAAUUUAAUUCAAUUAUUUUCCGUGAUCGUACAAACUUUGAAUGCGAUUCACAGGCUGCUUAUUUACUACUUCUAAAGGUUGAACUGCUAAAUAUUAAAAGGAUGGUUUUGCUUCUUAAGGUGUUGGUAAAUGAUACUUUUGAAUUAAUUGGGUCUUUUAAAAGAUACAGAUGUUCUUGAGUGCGUUUAGAUAAAUAUCGUCCAGUUUCUCUACGUACUGAAUACACACCCGGUUUGUUUCAUGUGAGUAAAUAAAUAAUACUGUUUGUUUUUCAAGUUAUAUCAGUUUCAAAUUUAAAGAAAUGUGCGACCAUUAAACGUGGACCUUACGUAUUGUUGGUGGAAAGACGGGACAUGUAAGUCAUUUUUUGGCAUGACACUUAUCGAUAGAAGGGUAACCACGAUUUUAUGUUAAAAUCUUAGCGAUGGUAGUAUUUUUAGAUAACCGAUUUGAAGAUUGAGACGUGUGGAUACCCUUUGAACAAGUUUAGUAUUUAGUAUUUUCCAUUUCUAAGCUUCAUAUUGUUUUGUUAGUGAAUUAUAUAAUAAAGGAGCAAAGAUUGGCGUCCAGAAUAUGAACCA